GGAGGGAUCAAGAGGGUGCUAGACUCGGCCUGAAGUAUUUAUUGAAUGUUGUCACACUGCCCAUAGAGGGUGUAAGGCCCGUAAGGCCGGCGUCUAGAUUACCUCGCUGGUUCCUCUCGAGAGUCGGGUUGCUUGAAAGUGCAGCCCUAAGUAGGUGGUAAACUCCAUCUAAGGCUAAAUAUUCCCACGAGACCGAUAGCGAACAAGUACCGCGAGGGAAAGUUGAAAAGAACUUUGAAAAGAGAGUUCAAUAGAGCGUGAAACUACCACGAGGCUAAAGCGAGUGAGCGUACGUAUCCGAACGGUUUGAUUCAGUCCGCCCGAGCACUGAUGAGCAGUGGGGGGUCGUAAUACGUCAUUAACGGAUCUCCCGAAAGGAUCCGAGCUAUACGCUCGGCCUCUAGGGUGACCGGCGUAUCUUCCGCUUUGCUCUGUAGGGGGACGCAUUUCCGGCCGAAGUAGGGCGUCGCGGCCGUUUCGGAGGUGUCUAAGACACGGGGGUCUUGGAAUCCGCAUCUUCUCGUCCCGGCGCGCUCUACCGCUCCUUCACGGAGGGGCGGCAUCACGCCGGGGUCGCGGGUCGAGCGGGGCCGCCUCGUUGAUCUGACGGCCUC
RNAcentral lists this ribosomal RNA (614 nucleotides) under Paraplatyarthrus subterraneus. RNAcentral's name for it is "eukaryotic LSU rRNA". It matches the Rfam family "Eukaryotic large subunit ribosomal RNA", at positions 151 to 628 of the family's 3401-position model. The record is from RNAcentral. Lineage: Eukaryota; Metazoa; Arthropoda; Malacostraca; Isopoda; Paraplatyarthridae.